RNAcentral lists this long non-coding RNA (5949 nucleotides) under Sus scrofa (pig). Its description in RNAcentral is "lncRNA (ENSSSCG00000053291.1)". Lineage: Eukaryota; Metazoa; Chordata; Mammalia; Artiodactyla; Suidae. The record is from RNAcentral.
CCAGUCCCAUGGAGCUCCUGCACACCAGCUUCACUGGCCUUCAAUGCCAAAUGCUCCUGGUGCUCUUUCUUCCAAUGCUAGAUCCCCACACGUGGGAGUUUGAUGUGGGGCUCAGAACUCUCACUCCUGUAGGUGAGUCUCUGUGAUCCACUUCCUUUCCAGUCUGUGGAGCUUCCCUCCUGGGAUGUAUAGGGUUGCUUAUAUUAACUAAUCACCCCUCCCACCUCUUGAUGUGGCCUCCUCUUUGUCUUCUGGAAUAGGAUAUCUCUUUGAAGGUUUCUGGUCCGUUUGGUUGAAGAUUGCUCAGCAUCUAAAAAAUUUUUUUUGUUUUUAGGAGAAAAGUUUAGGUCUAGUCCUUCUAUUCUGCCCUCUUAAUCUCAUCUCUCAUUUGUUUUUCUUUUUCAGCCACACCCAUGAUAUAUGGCCGCAGGAACUCCUCCGUUCUCAUUUUCUAUAUUCUGCCUCAGUCCUAGAAUCAUCCAUUUCUCUAAGAGCCCUGAUUUCUUUAAUUGGAGAAUGGAUUUGUGUUCAUUGUACUGAAUAUCUUUACUUCUACGCCCUCUCAGUGGGUAUAGAUGCAUAUGUACUCAUUUCACUGUUUCCUUUAUUUAUUUUUUCUAUUUAGGGCUGUACCUGUGGCAUUUGGAAGUUCCCAGGCUAGGGGAAGAAUCAUAGCUGCAGCUGCCAGUCUACACCACAGCCAUAGCAACACAGGAUCCAAACCAUAUCUCUGACCUACACUGCAACUCAUGGCAAUGCUGGAUUAUUAGCCCACUGAACAGGGGCCAGGGAUCAAACCCUCAACCUCAUGGAUUCUAGUCAGGUUCAUUACUGAUGAGCUACAAUGAGAACACACUGCUUACUUUAUUAUUGAUUUUUUCUUGCUCAUCUGUGUAUGCUUUCACCUUUUCUUUCAGUUUGAUGCAUAUCUUGUUUUCUCCUGACUUCAAAAUUUGGCCCUAUUUCUUGGUUAUCCUUUUAUUGAAUUUCCUCCUUGAUUCAGUGACUAGAAUGUAAUAAGUAAUGUGUUCAGCUUCACCCAGCUCUUGAAAUUGCUGCUCCUCUGCUCUGUCCUUGCAGACUACAUGUUCUCCCCAGGACUUACUGGUGACACCAGAUGCUAUAGAACAUACAGACAGGUCUAUUUCAGGACUCUGUUUUGAGAAGCUUAUACUAUAAUUACAUGACUCUGUUUGAAAAAUAUGUAUUCUUUCAGAAUAUCCAUUUUCAAUAAGCAGCAAAGUGAUAAAGUAAAUAUUUUGUGCCAGAUAGCUGCAUCAGUUUGUAAGCAUUUCUAGAAUUCUCCUCUGGAAAGAUAAGACAUUCUCUGAAAAUUAUGGUCUUAUUGGAAAGGAGGUGAAAACAUGUAUAAAGUAGACCACCUCAGAAUUAGAAGUGGAUAUAAAAAUUUUCUGAUGACUCUAUUUUUUCAAUGGAUAUAUUUGACUUAUGACAUUGUGUAAAUUUAUUUAUUUAUUUAUUUAUUUAUUUAUUUAUUUAUUUAUCUUUUCUAGGGCUGCACCUACAGCAUAUGGAGGUUCCCAGGUUAGGGGUCUAAUCAGAGCUGUAGCUGCUGGCCUAUGCCAGAGCCACAGCAACUAGGGAUCUGAGCUGCAUCUGCAAUCCACACCACAGCUCACAGCAAUGCUGGAUCCCUAACCCACUGAGCGAGGCCAGGGAUCAAACCCGAAACCUCGUGGUUUCUAGUCGGGUUCAUUAACCACUGAGUUAUGAUGGGAACUCCGAAAUUGUGUAAAUUUAAAGUAUAUAUUUUAAUUUAUUUUUUAUUCCUUCCUCCUUUUUUUUUUUUUUUUCCUGCUACUAGUAAGGACAAGAAUUUAUGAAAGAUUUGAGGGGAAUUUAAAAACCAAGCCACGGUAAACAAUGGUAAGGAAGAAAGUGAGAUUUGUUCCCUGAGAAACUGGAUAGGAGCUAAACCCUUGCACAAUGAGGAGAGAAAUGAAUGCCCAUACACUUCUUGUAAGAUGCAAGCAGAUAUUUUAAGACUGGAUAUAGCCUCAGGUCCUUAGGCUAGGCAUCAGCAGAGCAUAUGUCACAGGGUUCUGAUUGAAGAAAAGAUUCAGGUUCGCUUAACUAUAUAGGUCUGGAAGAUAAAACCAGAAUUAGAUCAAGCUGAACAAUAUGAAGUUUAGUGAGGAAAUUAUUCCCUUAAAUUUAUCCAUUUAAAUAAUAAUAAACAUUUACCUUAAGUACAAAUUAGUAAACAUUAGUAUUUAUUUAUAUUGAUAUGAUACAUUUUCUCAAACAUUUUUUUUCCAGAAAAAAAUAUAACCAGAACAUAGUCUCUACUGUCAUUUAUGCUUCGUGGUGAAGGCUAGUUUAUUUCAGGCAUGCAUUAGAUCACUCUGUCGUCAGUCACUUACUGAACACUAAUGAGCAAACAUUAUUCAAAGUCUUGAGACGUUUUAAGUCAUCUGUGGUCUUUGUCAAAACCAUUUUUUGAUUCCAAAUUUUGGGAGUCUAAAGGAGACCACUAUGUAAGGAAGGAAUAAAGUGUUAUAGGUGCUGUGAUAGAAGUGAGUGUUGAAGUUCACAGUUAAGGAAGAGACAAAAGAUAAAUCACUUCUACUUCAGCAGCUCCUCUAUUGCAGGCACAGGGCUUGCAAAAGAAACCAAAGCUAUUCUAACAAGUCCUAUAAACUGAAACCCAUAAAAACAUGGGAAAAGGAUGCAGGAGUGCUUUCUCCCCUUUGCACUCAUUCUCAUUCUCCCUCCUCCCCUCUCAUUCUGCUUCUUACCCUCAGAGCAGAGGUUGGGGCUUCAAGUUUUGAAGUAUUAACACAAUUGAGCACUUUAUAAAUUUUCCUCAAGGGAAUGUUUUUAGAUUUCAUGACCAGGGAAAACAAACUGAUUAGGACUUUAGGAAUUUUUUUUUUUUUUAAUUUUUGUCUUUUUCUAGGGCUGCACCCACAUCAUAUGGACGUUCCCAGGAUAUGGGUCUAAUCAGAGCUGUAGCCGCCGGCCUACUCCAGAGCCACAGCCACUAGGGGUCUAAGCCUCAUCUGUGACCUACACCACAGCUCAUAGUAACGCUGGAUCCUUAAACCACUGAACGAGGCUGGGAUCGAACCUGCAGCCUCAUGGUUCCUAUUCAGAUUCGUUAACCACUGAGCCACGGCAGGAACUCCGAUUUUAGGAUUUAACAUGGGUAAGGUGUGAAGGAAAGAGAACAAUGACAAAAGAUGAGUCAAAAAUGAUCCGAAUUAUCAGGCCUGGUGAGUAGGAAUGAAUGAAGUUACAGUCACAAGAGUAUAGCAGUCUUUCAAUGCAGAUGAUAAUAGCUAGACAGUGUAGGUUCAAAUCCCUGCACAAGCUACUUAACCCCUUUGUACUUCAGUUUCCUUAUCUGUAUGGUGGUGAGGGUAAUUACUGUACCCACUUUAUAGUAAUUCUGAGUUAAUUAUAUAUAAGAAUUCUGUGUUAAUACAUGUAAGAGUCUUAGAAGAGUGCAGGGCACAAAGUCAGUGCUAUGUGGGUAAGUGUUGGCAAUUGUUAAGUUUAUAUAUUGAACAUCUUCUGGGUGCAAGAUGAGGAACUUCAAAAGAUCUGUCUGGUAGGGUUCCUUCCACAAUUUUUAUUGGCAAGUUCUUCUAAAUCCUCUCCAUUCCAACAGUUUUUCAUAAUCAUUUUUUUUUAACCAAUUUAAGGAAAUAAUCUUCCCUUUCUCUGUACAUCUUUUCUCAUAGGCCACCAUUUUCUAUUGGGCAUCAUAUCUGACUGUUCAUUAAACCAGGAAGUAUAUGUAACUCUGAAAACAAUGACUUAGAGUGAAAACAUCUAAGGUAACAGUGCUUAGAUAAUGAAAAACCUGGUUUGCUUUGCCCAGAAAAGACUAAAAUAUUUAUAUGCCAUUUUCCAAUGGCAAUCUUUACAUGCUCUGAGGGUUUUUAAUUAUGAUCACCAAUUGUUAAAACUAUCAAAAGCACAUAUAAAAACAGCCAUGUAGACUCUAAACAGAUUAGCUAUAAUGUGGCAUUUUUAAAAAUUGAGCUGCUUUAACUGAACAUAGCAUUUGAAAAUAAUAAAAAAGUGUUGAAAAUGUAGUCCAAAAAAAAUGGUCACUCAUCAACUUUCUCUUUUUUUUUUUUUGUCUUUUUAGGGCCACACCCUCGGCAUAUGGAGGUUCUCAGGCUAGGGGUCUAAUGGGAGCUGUAGCCGCUGACCUAUGACACAGCCACAGCAAUGCCAGAUCCAAGCCAUGUCUGCAACCUACACCACAGCACAGGACAAGGCUGGAUCCUUAAUCCACUGGGCAAGGCCAGGUAUCAAACCCACAACCUCAUGGUUACUAGUCAGUUUCAUUUCCUCUGUGCCACAACGGGAACUCCCCUCAUCGGCACUUUGAAUUCAAAAACAGAGGUUGAAAGUGCACCAUUAUUUACAGGCCUAGUGUCUUUGUUGUGGGUCUGUGGGCUGCCUUUUUGUCUUUAGUGGUAAAGAAUCAAAAACAUAACAUUAUCACAUUUCUGCUUUUCGGAAAUAACCAUGAGAUUAAAUUAGAAAAUCUUUUUGAAAUUCUCGGAGACUUGAAGUGUCAGUAAGUUUCAACAAAAAACUAAUAUUUAAGUUAGUAAGUAAAGAUGUGCGAUGCUGAAAAAUUAUAUACUUAGGAUUUACAUCUGCUAAAGAGAGAAUCCAGAAAAUAGUUUUAGCUUUUAGUAAAAAGUUAUACCUUUUAAAUUUUAAAAAACUUUGGUCACAAUUCUAAAUUAGUAGCUAAAAAGAUGUUCGGGAACCUAAGUGAAAUACAAGGAAUGGCUGCAUUUUAAAAGAAACUGCAAAAAGAGAAACACCAAUGCAAAAUCUUCUCCUGACUCUCUUGGGCUCACAAAAAGAAAUCCACAAUAUUUUCUCUGUCAGGAUUAGUUUUAAGAUAAAAUCUUAAAAAAAAUAGCUAUGUGCCUUAGGGAAUUUCACUGACUUUUCCUGUUCCUAAACAUUCCUCUCUUCUUAAAAGGACUUUCAGUGGGGUUAGUUUCUAAAUUAAUCCAGACAUUUGAGGGCAGUUGGGCCCUCUGCACUUGAAUAAUUAAGUGAGAACCAUUAGAGGAAAGGCUAUACAUUAGUAACUUGGAGGAACCAAAGUGGAUGAACCACUUUUCAGAACCUGCAUGACAAUUUUGAAAAUUAAACCCAGUUAAUAGAAAAAAAUGCUAAAUCAAUGGCCAUAAAAUUUAAUGGGUUUAUAGCAGCCUUAACACAGUAGGACUGAAUUAUCAUGUUAAUUUAAUUUCCAUUUCUAAAUGAACCAGAAGGCACAAUAAAGGUCAAUUAACCAGCUACCUUCCCUGUCUUCUUUUUCUUUUACUGCCGGUUUUAAAUCACAUUCAGCCCCAAAGCACUCACACUGCUUCUGGAAACUCAUUAGUUUUUCUUGAAAUUAAAACAAAAAAAGAAAAAAAGGAAGAAGAAACAAAAACUAACAACUAACCAUGUGCUGAGAACAACCACUGAGAAUGUGCUACAAUUACUGGGAUAUAUGUAUUCAAAGAAAAAUCUUUUACUCUUGUCACAUUGAGGCUACAAACCUAAUUAAACCAAGCCUAGGGAAACACACAAGUUAAAGGUCCCGAUUAUAGUGUUUACCGAGUGUUCAUCUACACUGAAAAACCUGUGUAUGCUACUCUUAACAUUUAUGAGGCGAAUAAGGAAGGGAACUCCAUCUGUGUAAUGUGAGUCUGUUGUUAGUACAGUGAGAACCUCAAGAUUUGUACAGCCUGCAUUUUUCACAUUGAAAUGUGUUACUUUAUAUAAUAGGUUUUAUUUCUUCAAAAAAAGAAUAGAAAAAAAAGAAGUCAGUUUUGUCCUCUUCACCAUCAAGAAAAUUCAGUCCUUGUUUUUGGUGUACUUAAUUUAUUGUUGCUAUGGAUUGCCUGUAGUUUGAUACCUUAUCAAAUCACCAAAUAUUCUGGUCUUUUCCAGUGGUAC